GUGCACGCUGGCGGUAGGCCUAACCCCUGCCAGUCGCACGGCAGCACAGUAAGAGCUUGCUCUUACGGGUGGCGAGUGGCGGACGGGUGAGGAAUACAUCGGAAUCUACUUUUUCGUGGGGGAUAACGUAGGGAAACUUACGCUAAUACCGCAUACGACCUACGGGUGAAAGCAGGGGAUCUUCGGACCUUGCGCGAUUGAAUGAGCCGAUGUCGGAUUAGCUAGUUGGCGGGGUAAAGGCCCACCAAGGCGACGAUCCGUAGCUGGUCUGAGAGGAUGAUCAGCCACACUGGAACUGAGACACGGUCCAGACUCCUACGGGAGGCAGCAGUGGGGAAUAUUGGACAAAGGGCGCAAGCCUGAUCCAGCCAUACCGCGUGGGUGAAGAAGGCCUUCGGGUUGUAAAGCCCUUUUGUUGGGAAAGAAAAGCAGCAGGUUAAUACCCCGCUGUUCUGACGGUACCCAAAGAAUAAGCACCGGCUAACUUCGUG
RNAcentral lists this ribosomal RNA (491 nucleotides) under uncultured bacterium. RNAcentral describes it as "partial 16S ribosomal RNA". It matches the Rfam family "Bacterial small subunit ribosomal RNA", at positions 29 to 507 of the family's 1533-position model. The record is from RNAcentral.